RNAcentral lists this ribosomal RNA (556 nucleotides) under Escherichia coli. Its description in RNAcentral is "partial 23S ribosomal RNA". It matches the Rfam family "Bacterial large subunit ribosomal RNA", at positions 685 to 1239 of the family's 2925-position model. Lineage: Bacteria; Pseudomonadati; Pseudomonadota; Gammaproteobacteria; Enterobacterales; Enterobacteriaceae. The record is from RNAcentral.
UAACCGGGCGUUAAGUUGCAGGGUAUAGACCCGAAACCCGGUGAUCUAGCCAUGGGCAGGUUGAAGGUUGGGUAACACUAACUGGAGGACCGAACCGACUAAUGUUGAAAAAUUAGCGGAUGACUUGUGGCUGGGGGUGAAAGGCCAAUCAAACCGGGAGAUAGCUGGUUCUCCCCGAAAGCUAUUUAGGUAGCGCCUCGUGAAUUCAUCUCCGGGGGUAGAGCACUGUUUCGGCAAGGGGGUCAUCCCGACUUACCAACCCGAUGCAAACUGCGAAUACCGGAGAAUGUUAUCACGGGAGACACACGGCGGGUGCUAACGUCCGUCGUGAAGAGGGAAACAACCCAGACCGCCAGCUAAGGUCCCAAAGUCAUGGUUAAGUGGGAAACGAUGUGGGAAGGCCCAGACAGCCAGGAUGUUGGCUUAGAAGCAGCCAUCAUUUAAAGAAAGCGUAAUAGCUCACUGGUCGAGUCGGCCUGCGCGGAAGAUGUAACGGGGCUAAACCAUGCACCGAAGCUGCGGCAGCGACACUGUGUGUUGUUGGGUAGGGGAGCGU